AGAAAUCAAAUGCCUAAAGCAUGUCCAUGCAUCAUGAUUAUAUGUAAUAGGUUGAUUGCACUAGUUCCACGAAUAUGACGCAUUGCAUAAUUUAUUGUUGAUGUGGAUGGACCAAGGCGACCCCAAUAGCCCAUGUUCUGUAUGAAAGACCUGGGUAAGUCCCUUCGUGGGCCAGGCACUAUGUUAUGUAUGAAAGACCUGGGUAAGUCCC
This 211-nucleotide long non-coding RNA is filed under the name Manihot esculenta (cassava). RNAcentral describes it as "long non-coding RNA (MESC_LNC006749)". Lineage: Eukaryota; Viridiplantae; Streptophyta; Magnoliopsida; Malpighiales; Euphorbiaceae. The record is from RNAcentral.